This 64-nucleotide transfer RNA is filed under the name Anolis carolinensis (green anole). It matches the Rfam family "tRNA". From Rfam's summary of the family: Transfer RNA (tRNA) molecules are approximately 80 nucleotides in length. Their secondary structure includes four short double-helical elements and three loops (D, anti-codon, and T loops). Lineage: Eukaryota; Metazoa; Chordata; Lepidosauria; Squamata; Anolidae. The record is from Rfam by way of RNAcentral.
GGCAUAGUGGCUCAAGCAUUGGACUACAACUUCAUGGACCAGUGUUCGAAUCCCUGCUUUGCCA